Molecule: long non-coding RNA, 15280 nt
Filed under: Salvia miltiorrhiza (redroot sage)
Lineage: Eukaryota; Viridiplantae; Streptophyta; Magnoliopsida; Lamiales; Lamiaceae
Description: long non-coding RNA (SMIL_LNC004585)
Source: RNAcentral
GGGGGGGGGGGGGGGGCACCUCCAUCCGCGCCCGCACUUUGUCCACUAAUCCGAUCCUAUUCGGUUUCAUUUGUGCAAGUGUGCCUCUUAUUUAUUUUUUUAUUGGCGAAGGUAUUUGAUUUUGAACUUCAUUUGGUCAACUCUCCGACAGCUGGCCAUUCCUCGAAACUACAAAAUACUAGAUAACAAAUAAUUAAUUAAAAUUCCCUAUUUACCCACUAGUAACUAAAAUAAUGUUCGCCUAAAUAAACUAAGAGCACUCCCAGCAGAAAUCUCAAAAUUAUGCUUCUAUAUUCCUUCCUAAAGCUUCUCUAUUUAAUUUUAGUAUCUCAAUUUUAUAAAUGUAUACACCAGAUCUCCUAUUUUCUACAUAAAAACAAUAAUUAUGUGUGGGCCCUAUUAAUUAUAAGUUUAAAAUAAAUUUAGGGUGGAUGUAAAUUUAAGAUUGAAUUUAGGUAGAUGUAAAUUUUUUUGUGGGCCCCAUCCAAUUUAGGGGAUCUGCUGGAUGCAUUUUUUAUCUUAUUUUCAAUUGUUUUAGCCUAAAUUUAGAGUUAGUGAUGCAUUUAGGUGAUCUGUUGAAAGUGCUAUNNNNNNNNNNNNNNNNNNNNNNNNNNNNNNNNNNNNNNNNNNNNNNNNNNNNNNNNNNNNNNNNNNNNNNNNNNNNNNNNNNNNNNNNNNNNNNNNNNNNNNNNNNNNNNNNNNNNNNNNNNNNNNNNNNNNNNNNNNNNNNNNNNNNNNNNNNNNNNNNNNNNNNNNNNNNNNNNNNNNNNNNNNNNNNNNNNNNNNNNNNNNNNNNNNNNNNNNNNNNNNNNNNNNNNNNNNNNNNNNNNNNNNNNNNNNNNNNNNNNNNNNNNNNNNNNNNNNNNNNNNNNNNNNNNNNNNNNNNNNNNNNNNNNNNNNNNNNNNNNNNCCCUACCCAAACACCUGGCCCAAACCGGCAUCCCAAAAAUCCUCUCUUCUUUUUCUCCUCUUUUCUCCCCCCACGCGCCUCACCUUUUUUUCUUUUUCUCUUCUUCUUCCCCCAUUUAUGCAACUUCCAAUUUUUUUUAAUCAAUGCGUGAUAUUCACGCGUUUCUCUCUCUCCUCCCCGUGCCACGACUCUCCCAUCAAACUGAGGCCGUGCCGCUGCGGCUCCCCAGCGUGCGUGGCACACCAUUUUCUCGUCUCGAUGCGGCUCUCCAGAUGAGCGUUGGGGAUGCUCUUGUAAGAAUAGGACAUGAUAAAGUCCCUAGCUUUAAAAAAAAUACAUGUUAAAUCUUGUUCUUUCAAUUGGGUUUUUGCACUUUUUAGUUUACUAUUGAACAUUAAGGGUGCGUUUUCUUUUGUUGUAAAUUUAUCAUGGAAAAAAGAGGGAUAAACAAAAAUAUUUCACCUUUUAAAUUCUUCUUUUCUUUUCUCUCAUUUCUACAAAAUAGAAUUUGAUCCUUCAUUUUCACUACAAAUGAAUGAUAAUAUUAUCACACCAAAAAUGAAGGGAUAAUAUUAUCCAUCAUUUGUAGUGAAAAAGAAGAGUCAAAUUCUAUUUUGUAGGAAAUGAGGGAAAAGAAAUGAAAGAUUUAAAGAGUGAAAUUUUGUUUAUGCCUUAUUUUUCUAUGAUAAAUUUACAACCAAAGAGAAUGCACCACCUUAAUACUUAUUGGUGAAACGAGAAACCAACACCUAAACUAGAAAGCAAUAAACGAGACAAGAUUUACGUGGUUCGGUCGAGAAGACCUACGUCCACGGGGGUUUUGGGGGUUUUUCACUGUAAUCGAGAGAGUAUUUUACAAUUUACAGGUUGUAGGCUCGAAAAAUGACUAUCCCCUAAAUGAGAGCUAAAAUGAGCUAUUUAUAGGAAAUGGAGAAAGUAAAGGCCCAUAUAUUAACCCUCUAGCCCUAAAUAAUUGGGCCCAAGCCCCUAUUACAUGAGCUUCGCUCUUUAAUCGAACCGAGAGUCGAGCUGCGCUGCUGUAAUAAUUCCCUGUCAAGUCCAACUGAACCAAAUAUUCAUAAUAAUAAUAGCAUUAAUAAUAAAGAUAAAAAGGAAANUUACAUGAGCUUCGCCUUUAAUCGAACCGAGAGUCGAGCUGCGCUGCUGUAAUAAUUCCCUGUCAAGUCCAACUGAACCAAAUAUUCAUAAUAAUAAUAGCAUUAAUAAUAAAGAUAAAAGGAAAAUACUGUAGCCUUGUUUAGCACAGCGCUGAUGCAUAUUUCAGUCCUCAUCACUUAUACUUUUGUAUUCUUAUCAAAUUGGGAUUUUUUCUUUUUUGAGAAUAUCAAAGUGGGCUCUUGAUCGUUCAUUUGUCAAGACUUAGUCUUUGUAUUUUCAUUUGAGUACACAAGUCUUUAUUUUUUUACAAAAAAUUGGAUACAAUUGAUUAUACCGUACACUCGGAUGGCACCUUGAUCCACAUUUUGAUCCGAACUUGCAUCCUGAUCUGAACCGUGUAAAUGACAAUACUAUUCAUUUAUACAAAUGACAAAAUCUAUAAUUGACACUAUUCAGUUAUACAAAUGACACUGUGUAUAAUUAACACUAUUCGGUUUUACAAUUGACACUGCGUAUAAAUGACAUUAUUCAGUUAUACAAAUGAUAUUAUCAUUUGUAUAACUGAAUAGUGUCAAUUAUAGGCAGUGUCAUUUGUAUAACCGAAUAUUGUCAUUUACACGGUUAGUAUUAUUUGUAUAACCGAAUAGUGUCGAUAAUACAUAUGUCAUUUACAAUGUUAUAGUAUCGCAGUGUCAUUUGUAUAACCGAAUAGAGUUAAUUACAGACAAUGUCAUUUGUAUAAUCAAAUAGUAUCAUUUACAUGGUUUGGGUCUAAGAUGCAGGUUCGAAUCAGGAUGCGGAUUAGGGUGCAAUCUGAUCAAUACGGUACAACGAUUGUACCCAAGACCAGCUUCUUAGUUUUGUUUUUUGGGUAAAAUAGACGCUAAAAAAUGAAAGUGCGUUGACUCAAUUUUUACUAUUUUUUUCAAUAUUCUAUUAAUUGAUUUUUAGAAGUGCAAAGAACUCAACUCAUGAGAAUACUUGAAAGUACAACGCCAAAAUACGCUGUCAUUUUAUCUGAUGAUAAAAUAAUGAUUUUGUGUGUGUGUGUGUGUGUUAAAAUAUGUUCAAGUUUCUAACUCAUAAUUUCAAGUUGUCCAGUAUUUGCUUUGUAAGUUAUCAUCAUGUUAGUUCUCAUUUAUUUCUUGUUGCCUUUUAAUUUAAAACAUCUGGCCCAAUUUAUCACGGCCUUUUAUAAUAAAGUGAGCAAAACAUGUGGAAAAUAUUGGAGUUUUGGGCUUAGAUAUGUUUAGCCCAACAAAUAUGAAUCCAAAUGGUUUAUCAUAGCUUUCAAAUCGUUUGCCCUGUGUGGUUCAGUGGUUGGACCAUUUUGGGCAAAGCUCAUAAUAUUAGCCAUAAACUUUUCAACUAGGACGUAGCCAGGAUUUUAUUUGGGGGGAGACAAUUUAUAAUAAUUUUAAUUAUGAUUAAUUAUUUAAUUAAAAUUUAUAAUAAAUAUUAUAAUAAUUUUUGAAAUAUUUAUAUAUGACUAUCACACGUCCUAAUAACUUACAUGUUUAAAAUUAUAAAUAUUUAAUAAAACUUGAUUCAUUUACCCAACACGUACUAAUAUUUGCAUAAAAAAAUGUUUAGUAAUAAGUUGUUACAAACGAUAUGUUUUGGACUCUAACUAUUAUUUUUUUCUUUAUCUUUUUUUUUAAUAUGGCCACUUUUUUUUGGCAAUUACAUGUAUUAAUACUAUUAUUUUUUUUCUUUAUUUUAUUUAACAAUUAUUCAGUCACUUUAUUUUGGACUUUAACCAUUAAUUUUUUCGUUAUCUUUUUUUUUAAAUUAGCCAUUUUUUUUUGUCAAACGAUAUGUAUUAAUAUUUUUUUUCUUUCAUUUUAUUUUAACUAUAUCAUUAGGUCACUUUAUCUUGGACUCUAACUAUUAAUUUUUUCUUAUUUUAUUUAACAUACAAUUUCAUAUGGCUUUUAUUUUGUCAUCAAAAUAGUAUUUAUUUUUAUUUUUAUUUUUAAAUAUGGCCUACUUUUUUUGGAAAUGAUAUGUAAUACCUAUAAUAUAAUGUAAUAUCUAAUAAUAAAAGAUAUUUCUUAAUUGCCUUUUCAUGUAAUAUCUUAUAAUAUAAUGCUCUAUAAUUUAAUUUUAAGAAAAUAUGAUUGAUCAAUGUGCUCCACAUAUGAUACUAUUUUCACAAUUGUAGUCAUUUAUUUAUUUUAUAUAUAUAUUUUUCUAUUUUGAUAUAACUAAUUUAAUAUAAUAUAUUAUCCUAUAGUAUAAUUUCAUUGAAUAAAUCAAAAUGCUCAAUGUAUGAUACUUAUUUUCAUAAUUUUAUCAAUUUUUGGAACAAAUUAUUUUUAUUAUCUUGAAUUCACUUAUAUUAUCUUAUAGUGUAUUUGUAUUGAGUUGUCGAUCUAUGUGAUCAACGCAUAACGACAUUAUUCCAAAACAAUUAUAGUCGUUUACUUUUAUUUUCUAAUUUUUAUUUCUAUGUCCCUAAUUUGCUAUGAUUUUUUUGUUAACCUACUAUACCUCUAUAACAUAAUCAAAUAAAUUAGCUACGAUGUGUUAUCAUUCGAACCAUUAAAAUCAUUUCUUCCUAUUUUUAUUUAUUUAUUUCAAGUUCCACUUAUGAAAUAAUCGAAGAAAGUAGCUAACGUCAUUUAUCAUUCAUACCAUUAUAAAAUUCCUUCCUAUUUUAUAUAUAUAUUUUUAUUUCAUAUUCACUAAUUUAUAAUAUCCUAUUAUAUAAUUUCAUUGAGCAAACGAUCGAUGUGCUUAAUGUAUGUUAGCCAUUUGUUUUUAUUUUUAUUAUUUCGAGUUUACUAAUUUAUUAUAAUAUAUUUUCUUAUACUAUUAGUGUAAUCGAACCGAGCCGAACCGAAUAGUGGUGUGCUCAAGUUUGGUUUGUUUAGUAUCGAAUCGAAUCUCGAACUUUACGUACCGAAUACUUUGAGGCUCAUGAGCCUAAUCGAACCUAUACGAACUUUCUAAAUUUAUAUUUAUAUUCAAAAUAUUGAUUAUUUUAUUUUAAAAAUAAAUUAUUUUAUUCAAAAUAAUAAAUAUAUUAAUUAUUUUCUUAUAACAAAUAAAAUUAAUUAGAGAUUUAAUACAAUUAUUAUUAAUUUUAGUGGAUAAAUAUAAGUUGUGUCUACUAAUAAUUUAUAUUUUUCAAGCUGAAUCACUUGACGAACAUGUUCACGAGCUAACGAGCCGAAUACUACUAAGCUCAAGUUUGGUUUGUUUAUUUAUCGAGCUUCUCUAAACGAACUUGAACGAACUUUUUUCGAGCCGAGCUCCGAAUUGUUCGCGAGCGGCUUGGUUUGUUUACAGCCCUAAGUAUAUUUGUAUUGAAUUGUCGAUCCAUGUGACAACGAAUGACACUAUUCCAAAAUAAUUAUAGUCAUUUAUUUUUAUUUUCUAAUUUUUAUUUCUUCUUCCCUAAUUUGUUAUGAUUUUUUGUUAACAUAUACUUUUAUAAAAUAAUCAAAGAAAGUAGUUAGCGCGUGUUAUCAUUUGAACUAUUAGUAUAAUACUUUCAUAUUUUGUAUUUUAUAUUUUAUAUUUUAUAUUUUAAAUUCACUAAUUUAUUAUAAUAUAAUGUCCUAUAUCUAUUGAGCAAUCGAUCAAUGUGCUCAAAGUCAGACAUUAUUUUAUAAUUCUACUCAUUUAUUUCUAUUAUUUCGACUUCACUAAUUUAUUAUAAUAUAUUAUUGUAUAGUAUAUUUCUAUUGAGUUGUCGAUCAAUGUGCUCAUAUUGUCAUUCACUUUUUAUUUUCUACUUCUCUAAUUUGCUAUGAUUUUUUCGUUUAGCUAUUCCAAAAAUUAUAUACUUUAAAUAUGUAACUAAUUAUUCAUCUUUAAAUUAAUAUUAAUACAAAAUCUACUUUUGACAAUAAAAAAAAAAUCAAAGAGUCCUAAAAUGGAUUAAUCGUAUUCCUCUUAAUGGCAUAAUAGUUAUUGUAAUAAAAAAACAUGCAAAUAAAACAAUAAAAUUGAUAUCUUAUAAAAAUAUAUAAAUAUAUCAUUAUUAUAAAAGAUAAGAAAUAAACAAAUACAUAAGAAAAUCGAAAACUCCAAAUUUAUGUGAAUGGAGUUUUUAUGAUGAUGGAGUUAAACAAUUGCGCCUAAAAAAGGAUAGUUAAACAAUUUGUGGGAUUGAUUGAUAUAAUCGAAAGAAAUAAGGUUUUAAUUAUUAUGGAAAGAUUCUGGGUAAUCUUUUCCUUUGUAGUAUCAUGGAUAUUUAUGUAAAAUGUAAAUUCAAAUAAAUAAAAUUAAUUUUUUUAGAGUUUGAAAAUAUGUAAAAUGAUAAAAAGUCCAAUUAUGUGUGCACAUAUUAUGUGUGUUUAGCAGUACUCAUAUAUAUAUAUAUAUAUAUAUUAAGAAUGGUAAUUACUCUAUGAUCCAUCCUUUCCAUAUAUAUAGGAAUGUUAAUAUCAAAUUUUAGCUGUGUCAGCACUAAUUCCAACUUCCAAGCAUGAAGAUUCGUCCUAGGGUAUCAUUUAAAAAUUGAAAUUGGGGAAAGUGCAAUAUAUACCCGUUUGAUGAUGGUAAAAUUUGAUUAUAAUUUUAGGGCGGGUUUGCUUUUUAUCCCUCUAAAUGGAGGGGUAAUAAAAAUUUAUGCCUUUAAAUAUUUGUUUUUUAUUCUACAUUUUACACAAACACCAUUUUUUCCUUCCUUAUUUUCACUUCAAGGAGGGAUAAUAUUAUCACACCAAAAUGGAGGGAUAAUAUUAUCCCUCCUUGAAGUGAAAAUAAGGAAGAAAAAAUAGUGUUUGUGUAAAAUGUGGGAUAAAAAAAUAAACAUUUAAAACCAUAAAUUUUUAUUAUCCCUCCAUUGCAAACUCACCCUUAUUUUUUAUUAUUCGUUGCAGGAAAGCAGUGGAGAUCUGGGACGACCUUCAGAUUUGGCUUGGACUCUCAACGGUGAGACCGAAUAAUGUCGAAGCACACUUCCUUUCCUUCGUACACUUGAGUGGGGAGAAAAGGAUCAGGAAACUUUUGAUGACAAUUUGGGUGUGUAAUGUUUGGUUGAUCUGGCGAAGGAGAAACGAAGACAGGUUCGAGAUCGAGGAAAAUGAAAAGGAAAAGAAAAGUUUGCUUGCGGAGAUUCAAUGCAGAGUUUGGAGUUGGAAUAAAUGUUUUGAUAUUCUUUCAAAAGAGCUUCCUUUCCCGGAUUGGUGCUCUAAUGAUCUUGUGAACUCUCUCCUGUAAUUCGGUUCGGUACCUCUGGUACCUCUGUUUCUCUUUAUAAAAUUCCCUUUUUCUGAUCAAAAAAAAAAACUCACCCUUAUUUUUCUGUUUCUAUCCAUCUAUCGAACAAUGAGAAAUAAAAAAUAAAAUGUGAAGUUGGAUAACGGUAAAAAUUAUCAGAUACGUGAACUAAUCUCGAUCUAAGUUCAUCUUAAUAUAUAUUUAAAUCGUAAAACGGUCAUUUCAAUAUCUACCCAUUAAAUCUAUAGAAAUGCAAAAUCAAUUACGAAUUUUCUUUUCUAGCUAGUGGUCCCGAGCUCCGCAUGUGAAAUGUAGAAUUAUUUAUUUCCAGAAAAAGAAAAUUUUGAAUUAUAUGGUUGAUAGGAAUUCAGCUGUCCAAUUUUGUGAACGUUACACGAUUUUUAUAUUCGAAUAUAAAAGUCGCAAAAAACUAAGGCGAAAGACGCGCUUUUUCUUUACGCCCUUUUUCUUAAUUAAUCUUUUUGAGCGGCGGAAUAGUCGGUUGCUCAUGUGCUAGAUUCUACUGAUGGCUGACGUCACCCCUCACCAAUUCAAUUAUCAUAAAUAAUGUUUCGCAAAAUUAUUGUUAUUUUUUUUUUUCAAUUAGCUAAAUUUUGCUUUGAUAUUUAAAGUGCAGUACAUGGCAUUUUGGUAAAGAAUUGUUUCGAGAUAGUGGACCACCGAACUAUUUCUUGAUUGGUAUCCGAUGUUGGUAUGCUACAAAAUUAAUUAAAUAAACAAAUAAAUAAAAUCAACUUUUUCGACAAAGUUAAAGACAAGUCAUUUUUUUAAAAGAAGUAAAUUAUAAUUUACUUUUUCUAACAUUUUACGUUACAUUCUUUUUUGUAAAUAGCAUACUAUAUAAAAAGUCGGUGCUUGAUCAAAGUUACAUUCACAAUUUCAUCAGAAAAAUCCUAGUUUCAAUUUAAAAUUCAAUAAUGGAAUUUAGUUUUUGAUAGUGAUUGUUCCCUAAUUUUAGGUAUUUUCAAAGAUAUUGGGCGGUGUAAUUUGUUAAUAUCGUGAUAUUUAAGAUAAACAUAUAAUACUUUUUUUUUUUGAUCAGUAAAGUAAAACUUUUAUUGAAAGAAAAUGGAUCAAGGCAUCAGGAAUGCCAAUCAAAACAAUAAAACAAGUUUAAAGUCUUUGGAACACCAAGAAGUAAAAGGAAUUCCUAACUCCACGAUUUUGUAGGCCUCGUUCCAACUCCAAAGUCUCCCCUUAAUCUGUAAUACAAGUCUAUCAAUAUCCCAAGCAUUGUCCUGAAAACGACUAUCAUUCCUGCUUUCCCAGAGCAACCACACUGUUCCCACCCACAAAGCUUUAAGCAGUCUUCUUUCUCUCUUCUUUUUCCUAGCCGCGAUGAAAGAAAUGAAGUGUUGAAAGAUACCUCUCGGAUUUGCCGUUUUGAUGUCGAGCCAUUGAAAGAUCUGAUCCCAUACCGCCGCUGCUUUCGAGCAAUGGAGGAACAAGUGUUCCGUCGUUUCCUCACUGAAACACAUGCAUUGCACCAUCUCUCCUCCACACUGAUCUGAACAUUUCUUCUACUCAAAUUAUCACAUGUUGCCAAUCUGUUUCUAAGACAUCUCCAUGCCGUCACCUUGGCUUUAUUUGGUGUUGGGGCCUUCCAAACCUUUGCCAUCUCCAAAGGUAAAACUUGUUGCUCCUGUCUUGUUUUUGCCACAAUUUCAUAUGCCGACUUGAUUGUGAAGCAUCCAUCUGAUGUCGCCUUCCAGUUCCAUCCGUCUGUUACAUCUACACAAGGAGCAAAAUCAGCAAUCACCAACCGGAGAUCCUCCACAAGUCCUUUCUCCCUCUCCCUUAACUCCCUCCUCCACUCGACCCUCCAUACCCACGACCCGUGAAAAGUAUUUAUUCAAUCAAAUUUAACAAAAGAAAGUAAUUAACCGACUCGUGAAAAGUAGGGAGCACGAUGUACAAAACUAUCUUCAGUAUAUGAUCAAGUGUUUUUAUUGUUAGUGAAUAUGUAAAAUUUAAUUUAUUAAAAAAUAGGAGCUCGUUGUAUUGGAUUUAAGAGAAUANUUUCUACAAAAUAGAUUUUGAUCCUUCAUUUUCACUACAAAUGAAUGAUAAUAUUAUCACACCAAAAAUGAAGGGAUAAUAUUAUCCCUCCUUUGUAGUGAAAAAGAAGAGUCAAAUUCUAUUUUGUAGGAAAUGAGGGAAAAUAAAUGAAAGAUUUAAAGAGUGAAAUUUUGUUUAUGCCUCAUUUUUCCAUGAUAAAUUUACAACCAAAGAAAAUGUACCACCUUAAUACUUAUACUUUUGUAUUCUUAUCAAAUUGGGAUAUUUUCUUUUUUAAGAAUAUCAAAGUGGGCUCUUGAUCGUUCAUUUGUCAAGACUUAGUCUUUGUAUUUUCAUUUGAGUACACAAGUCUUUAUUUUUUCACAAAAAUUUGGGUACAAUUGAUUAUACCGUACAAUCGGGUGGCACCUUGAUCCACAUUUUGAUCCGAACUUGCAUCCUGAUCUGAACCGUGUAAAUGACAAUACUAUUCAUUUAUACAAAUGACAAAAUCUAUAAUUGACACUAUUCAGUUAUACAAAUGACACUGUGUAUAAUUAACACUAUUCGGUUUUACAAUUGACACUGCGUAUAAAUGACAUUAUUCAGUUAUACAAAUGACAUUAUCAUUUGUAUAACCAAAUAGUGUCAAUUAUAGGCAGUGUCAUUUGUAUAACCGAAUAUUGUCAUUUACACGGAUAGUAUUAUUUGUAUAACCGAAUAGUGUCAAUAAUACAUAUGUCAUUUACAAUGUUAUAGUAUCGCAAUGUCAUUUGUAUAACCAAAUAGAGUUAAUUACAGACAAUGUCAUUUGUAUAAUCAAAUAGUAUCAUUUACAUGGUUUGGGUCAAGAUGCAGGUUCGAAUCAGGAUGCGGAUUAGGGUGCAAUCUGAUCAAUACGGUACAACCGAUUGUACCCAAGACCAGCUCUUGUUUUGUUUUUUUGGGUAAAAUAGACGCUAAAAAAUGAAAGUGCGUUGACUCAAUUUUUACUAUUUUUUUCAAUAUUCUAUUAAUUGAUUUUUAGAAGUGCAAAGAACUCAACUCAUGAGAAUACUUGAAAGUACAACGCCAAAAUACGCUGUCAUUUUAUCUGAUGAUAAAAUAAUGAUUUUGUGUGUGUGUGUGUGUGUUAAAAUAUGUUCAAGUUUCUAACUCAUAAUUUCAAGUUGUCCAGUAUUUGCUUUGUAAGUUAUCAUCAUGUUAGUUCUCAUUUAUUUCUUGUUGCCUUUUAAUUUAAAACAUCUGGCCCAAUUUAUCACGGCCUUUUAUAAUAAAGUGAGCAAAACAUGUGGAAAAUAUUGGAGUUUUGGGCUUAGAUAUUGUUUAGCCCAACAAAUAUGAAUCCAAAUGGUUUAUCAUAGCUUUCAAAUCGUUUGCCCUGUGUGGUUCAGUGGUUGGACCAUUUUGGGCAAAGCUCAUAAUAUUAGCCAUAAACUUUUCAACUAGGACGUAGCCAGGAUUUUAUUUGGGGGGGGACAAUUUAUAAUAAUUUUAAUUAUGAUUAAUUAUUUAAUUAAAAUUUAUAAUAAUAAUUUUUGAAAUAUUUAUAUAUGACUAUCACACGUCCUAAUAACUUACAUGUUUAAAAUUAUAAAUAUUUAAUAAAACUUGAUUCAUUUACCCAACACGUACUAAUAUUCGCAUAAAAAAUGUUUACUAAUAAGUUGUUACAAAUAAAAUAUGAGGUGGGAAUAUCUAAUUAAAUUAUAUUAACAAGUAAUAUUUCAAUAAUCACACAAUAACAAAAAUUGAAUAUGUGAAAAAGUUCAAACACACAAGCUAUUAUAUAAAAAAAUCAUAGAGAAUUCAAGAUACAAAAAUAAAUUAUGAAUGUGUUUGUAAAGGAUUCUACAUUUGAACUCAAAUUUUAUAUUUUUAUAAGUCACUACAAAAAAUUACCCUAUAAAAAAUCCACUAAAAAAAAUUAAUUGAAAGUGAUGAUAUGAAACCAAAAAAAAUGAGAAAGAGAUACAUGUGUGGAUUUGAGUUACUUGUUCAGCCACUUCUCAACAUUACUAGGGCCAUAGGGUAAUUUGAAACUUUUUUAUUUAUUAAAGAUAGUACAUUUAUUCUACAUUUUACACAAACACCAUUUUUUCUUCUUUAUUUUCACUUCAAAGAGGAAUAAUAUUAUCACACCAAAAUGGAGGAAUAAAAAAAUAAACAUUUAAAGCCAUAAAUUUUUGUUAUCCCUCCAUUUAGAGGAAUAAAAAGCAAACUCACCUUUAUUUUUUCUGUUUCUAUCCAUCUACCUAACAAUGAGAAAUAAAAAAUAAAAUGUGAAGUUGGAUAACGGUAAAAAUUAUCAGAUACGUGAACUAAUCUCGAUCUAAGUUCAUCUUAAUAUAUUUAAAUCGUAAAACGGUCAUUUCAAUAUCUACCCAUUAAAUCUAUAGAAAUGCAAAAUCAAUUACGAAUUUUCUUUUAUAGCUAGUGGUCCCGAGCUCCGCAUGUGAAAUGUAGAAUUAUUUAUUUCCAGAAAAAGAAAAUUUUGAAUUAUAUGGUUGAUAGGAAUUCAGCUGUCCAAUUUUAUGAACGUUACACGAUUUUUAUAUUCGAAUAUAAAAGUCGCAAAAAACUAAGGCGAAAGACGCGCUUUUUCUUUACGCCCUUUUUCUUAAUUAAUCUUUUUGAGCGGCGGAAUAGUCGGUUGCUCAUGUGCUAGAUUCUACUGAUGGCUGACGUCACCCCUCACCAAUUCAAUUAUCGUAAAUAAUGUUUCGCAAAAUUAUUGUAAUUUUUUUUUUUCAAUUAGCUAAAUUUUGCUUUGAUAUUUAAAGUGCAGUACACAUUUUGGUAAAGAAUUGUUUCGAGAUAGUGGACCACCGAACUAUUUCUUGAUUGGUAUCCGAUGUUGGUAUGCUACAAAAUUAAUUAAAUAAACAAAUAAAUAAAAUCAACUUUUUCGACAAAGUUAAAGACAAGUCAUUUUUUUAAAAGAAGUAAAUUAUAAUUUACCUUUUCUAACAUUUUACGUUACAUUCUUUUCUGUAAAUAGCAUACUAUAUAAAAAGUCGGUGCUUGAUCAAAAUUACAUUCACAAUUUCAUCAGAAAAAUCCUAGUUUCAAUUUAAAAUUCAAUAAUGGAAUUUAGUUUUUGAUAGUGAUUGCUCCCUAAUUUUAGGUAUUUUCAAAGAUAUUGGGCGGUGUAAUUUGUUAAUAUCGUGAUAUUUAAGAUAAACAUAUAAUACUGUCAGUUCAGAAAAGUAUUUAUUCAAUCAAAUUUAACAAAAGAAAGUAAUUAACCGACUUGUGAAAAGUAGGGAGCACGAUGUACAAAACUAUCUUCAGUAUAUGAUCAACUGUUUUUAUUGUUAGUGAAUAUGUAAAAUUUAAUUUAUUAAAAAAUAGGAGCUCGUUGUAUAAUUGGAUUUAAGAGAAUAAUGAUUGUUGUCAGCUGGGGUUUCUGGCAGAUCACCAAAAUCUUUAACAAACUGGCAGUAAUUUUAAAUGGAUUCUACAAGAGCGUAUUAUGGUUUUUCCAUCUUUCUUAAAUGGAUUCAAUCUACAAAACCGUAUUAUGGUUUGUCCAUCUUUCUUAAAGAACUCUAUUUUAUCUAAUCUCUUAAAUGUUGAAGAAUUAAACUCCUUUUGUUAUGAAAAAAUAGUUUUAAGAUGGAGUGAUACGAGUUUUAAUGCCGAUGGGCGAUAGAGUAUAUUACUUUUUUCGUCCCGUGAAGGUUGAACAGUACUAUUUCUUUUCAGGUUAUCCCGCUAAAUUUGAGCAUUUCUCUUUUAUGGCAAUUUUUUUUCUCUUUAUUCACCUUUUUACUUUUUCACCUACCACACUUAAUACACAAAGUACUAACUCUUUAAACUCCGUGUUGAAAAGAAAUUGCUCGAGUUUCGCGGGACGGAGAGAGUACAUGAUUUUGGUUUGUAUGUGUUAGGGGUGUAUUGAUUUGUUUAUGGUAUAGUUAGUGUAACUACUCUAGUACGAGAUAUAAAUGAUAAAAUAGUGGAAAAUGCACAAUUUUCACUUGUUUCCUUAGGCGUUGGAUGGAAAUCAUAACACAAUAGAUAUUUGAUGCUGAUAUGACAUCAAAUAAAUCUUCACAUAAUAAUACUUCAUCCAUCCCACGAAUCUUGACACGUAUUCUUUUUUAUAUCGUCCCAUGAAUCUUGACACAUUUCUAAAUAAGGUAAUAAAUUAUUAUAUUUUCUCUUCUACUUUAUCAUUUUUAUUACUCCAUUCUUUCUCCUACUUUAUCACUUUUAUACUUUAUUAACUACACACAUAAAAUACUAAUCUACAACUUCUUAAUUCCCGUACCGAAACCAAACGUGUCAAGAUUCGUGGGACGGAGGGAGUACACUUUUAGACUCCUUCUCUUCCCAAGUUGCAUACAUUACCAAAAUCUUAAUUGCUAAUUUGAAAUCAAGCUUGCACAUGAUCUCCUAAUUAGAAAAUUAUAUGCUAAAUUACUUUCAAAUUGUAAGUUGCUUCUAAUAUCAAAACCAUCUCAAAUGUUGAGAUGGACGACGUAGGUGACGACGCAUAGCUCGACCGCAAAACUAAGUAAUCAAAUAUUAGAAAAAAUUUAAUAGUCACUCCCAAUCAUAAUUAACAUUAGUUAGAAAGUACAAGUACGUCAGGUCAAAUAAAAAAGAAAGUACCAUCAUCAUGUACAAAUCGAAAGUGCAACAUCACGAUUAUUAUUAUUAUUAUUAUUAUUAUUAUUAUUAUUAUUAUUAUUAUUAUUAUUAUAUGUACUGUACUACUUUAAUUUUCAAGUUCAAUUACUGUAUGCACAAAAAAUAAUUUUACUACAUUUAUGAACGCUGCUCACGAAGUCGCGAAAUAUUGACUUAGUUACCAAUUUUUAGCCACUUACUCCAAGGAAUAUUUCUCCGCAAAAGGGAAUUUCAAUUGCAUUAGCAAUUUUCAAGUCUAGUAAUUUUUGACGCCCUACAAGACCGUUUAAUGUUCAAUUAUAAUAAUCUAACAUAUAUAUAUUUUGUUUUUAUUUAGUAAAACUUACAAUGUUGUUAGUUAACUGUGUUGCACAGCAUAGAUUUAAAUUAAUAAACCAAAUAGAAUAAAUUGAAGAAAAACAGAACAAAAAAUGACAUAAAAGAAUAAUAAGAAAUUUUAUUAUUGAUGGAUAUGAUCAUCAUGUACAUGUGACUCCCCUAGAUAAUAAAUAUGUCCACGAGCUAUAAUCCAAGAGUCAUGUGUAAUCACCCAAAUAAUAAUAACAAUCAAACAAAUGAUCCCACUACAAAUCAAAUAAACAAACCACAAACAAAUAUAACCAAAAAUAGAAGAGAAAAUUAAACAAGGAGUAAAAUGACCACUAAGCCCCCAACAAAAGGACAAAACAAUCCCUCAUCCAAAAACAGAUCUACGCCGUCCACGUGGAGGAUCUAAACCAAAGCCACCGCCACAAGCACCGCCGCGAGAGCGGCGCCGCCAAAGGUAGCCCUGCUGACGAAGCCGCUGCUGCCGUCGGCGGGCGGUUGGUCGGCAGAUGGGCCGGCGGUGGGGCCGGCGGGGCUGGGUGAGGCUGGUGCGGGGGUGCCCGGGGCGGGGGCGGGGGACUCUCCCCCGGCGGUGGGGCCGGCCGCCGGUCCUGGGGUGGGGGCGGGGGUCGCUGGAGCCGGGGAAGGAGUGGCGGUGGGCGGCGCCAUCGGUGCUGCGGUGGGGGAGACCGUUGGUGCGCCUGCCGGUGAUUGGGCCAUGCAUGAAGUGGCCAACAGUGCCAUCACUAGGAAAAGCUUGAACCCUGUUGAUGAAGCCAUUGCUGUUUGCUACUUGCUAGAGAGAGAAAGAGUGUUUUAGAGAGAGAGAUUAUGUGAAGUUUGAAGAUGGACAAAGGCAUAUUGUAAAGUGAAGAUAUAUAUAAAAAGGAGGGAGAGAGAUUAGUGGGAAAAUAAUGAUGAGAUUCCGUGAAGAGGUAUUAAAUAAUUAAGUUUGGACAGGCAUUGCAUGUGUAGUGUAGCUCUGUUUCCACUCUGUGAAAUUAAUGACCAGAAGUCUUCUUCUUUUUUAUUUUUUAUUGGUUGUAUAUAAUGUAAUUUAAAUUAGUGUUUGUUAAGAUGUUUGCAUGUUAG